GGCCAACGAAAUUUAUUAAAACUUCUGGUUAACCCACUGUUAAAUCAGAAGGAUUCACCAAAUUAUACACCAUAGACCAUACAAUUCAUACACCAAAUACAUUUUAUAACCUCACACUUAUUAAAUCAAAAUGGCACCAAUUCUCCCAGGUGAGACUAAGGGCGUUUGCUCUACUCUUUAGCCACAUGUACCCAAGCAUUUUUAUCUCUUCUUUCAUCCUUGUCAAAUUCGCUUGUUUGCCAUUGAAGGUAGCUUCGUUCCGCGUCCUCCAUAUUACCCAAACUACGGUUUGAAUCACCAGAGAUAUUACCUUCCGCCACUUAACGGAUCCUCUAUUUUGAUUUUGGAUGAUUGCAAGAUCCUUCAAUUCCAAAAUAUAAAUAGACUUUAGCCUACACCAGUGAGACACUAAGUCCCAUAUCUGCUCCGUUACGCGACACGAACCGAAGAGGUGCAAGGUUGAUUCUUCCGCCUCAUUACAUAGUUUACACCAAGUGUUUUGCACCAUGACGUUUCUUCUUGCUAGGGCCGCAACCGUAGGAACUUUAUCUUGUAUAACCCUCCAUAAUAGGAAAUUUACCUUAACUGGAGCCCAAUUAUUCCAUACAUUCUCUAUACCCAGAUCUGAACAUGCUUGUUUAUGAAGCAAAUUUCUGAUACUUCUGACUGAAAAAGAACCAGAAUCAUCCCCAACCCAGACCCACUUAUCCUUCCCAUGCCCAAAACCGAAGGCCUGCAGCGCUGCCACCAAGCAGCCGAGCUCUGUUAAUUCCGUAUCAGACGUUGGAGACCUGGUCCAAGAGGUUACAAGUUCCGCUGCAUCUGCUUCAAUGUUGACUCGAUCCUUCAGCAAUACAUUUUUUUGCUCUCAAGUUGUGCGCACCGUGAGUUGUCUUCAAUCCUUUAACCCACUCUACCUUUCUCGAGUCCCUGACUCCCCGUAAGUUUACCGAUAGAUAAUUCAUUGGGGACCCGCUUGACCACCUUCACCCUCAAUUAAUAUCUCCAUCUGAUUGUGAGCUGAUUCCAAAUUGAAACCCACUUUAGAUCCCAACUUUAUUGUCUCGUCAGCCUCUUUUGAGCUCCCGCUAGUGUCAUUUGCCUCACGCUGUGUAACCGGAGAAAUAUUGGGAAAGUCGUCAUCUUGUCGACCAUGCUGAACGACUCCGUCGUCUUCUACCGCCGGUGGGGUUACCUCUCCACGGUGGUUGUGCAUUGUAGCUACUGGGUUUUGAUCUAUUUGGUC
RNAcentral lists this long non-coding RNA (1246 nucleotides) under Helianthus annuus (common sunflower). RNAcentral's name for it is "hypothetical non coding rna". The record is from RNAcentral. Lineage: Eukaryota; Viridiplantae; Streptophyta; Magnoliopsida; Asterales; Asteraceae.